UUUCCGUAGGUGAACCUGCGGAAGGAUCAUUAACAAAUUGAAUAUUGUAACAAUUGUGAAUUGGUCAACUUCUAGUUGGCAGCUUUAUGCGAUAAUAAUGUUAGUCAUGUACAAAUAUUAAUAUAAUACAACUUUUAACAAUGGAUCUCUAGGCUCUC
This 158-nucleotide unclassified non-coding RNA is filed under the name plant metagenome. RNAcentral describes it as "partial contains small subunit ribosomal RNA, internal transcribed spacer 1, and 5.8S ribosomal RNA". The record is from RNAcentral.